GAGUAACGCGUAUGCAACCUACCCAUAUUUGGGGAAUAACCCGGAGAAAUCCGGACUAACACCGCAUAAUAUCAUUGAAUGGCAUCAUUUGAUGAUUAAAUAUUUAUAGAAUAUGGAUGGGCAUGCGUCUGAUUAGUUUGUUGGUGAGGUAACGGCUCACCAAGACUACGAUCAGUAGGGGUUCUGAGAGGAAGGUCCCCCACACUGGUACUGAGACACGGACCAGACUCC
Molecule: ribosomal RNA, 231 nt
Filed under: uncultured bacterium
Lineage: Bacteria
Description: partial 16S ribosomal RNA
Rfam family: Bacterial small subunit ribosomal RNA
Source: RNAcentral